UACAGAGGGGGCAAGCGUUGUUCGGAAUUACUGGGCGUAAAGGGCGCGUAGGCGGCCGCCUAAGUCAGACGGGAAAUCCCUCGGCUCAACCGGGGAACUGCGUCUGAUACUGGGUGGCUUGAAUCCGGGAGAGGGAUGCGGAAUUCCAGGUGUAGCGGUGAAAUGCGUAGAUAUCUGGAGGAACACCGGUGGCGAAGGCGGCAUCCUGGACCGGCAUUGACGCUGAGGCGCGAAAGCCAGGGGAGCAAACGGG
Molecule: ribosomal RNA, 253 nt
Filed under: uncultured bacterium
Lineage: Bacteria
Description: partial 16S ribosomal RNA
Rfam family: Bacterial small subunit ribosomal RNA
Source: RNAcentral